GAUGAACGCUGACAGAAUGCUUAACACAUGCAAGUCAACUUGAACUUCGGUUUGGGUGGCGGCCGGGUGAGUAACGCGUAAAGAACUUGCCUCACAGAUAGGGACAACAUUUGGAAACGAAUGCUAAUACCUGAUAUUAUGAUUAUAUGGCAUCGUAUAAUUAUGAAAGCUAUAUGCGCUGUGAGAGAGCUUUGCGUCCCAUUAGCUAGUUGGAGAGGUAACGGCUCACCAAGGCGAUGAUGGGUAGCCGGCCUGAGAGGGUGAUCGGCCACAAGGGGACUGAGACACGGCCCUUACUCCUACGGGAGGCAGCAGUGGGGAAUAUUGGACAAUGGACCAAGAGUCUGAUCCAGCAAUUCUGUGUGCACGAUGAAGUUUUUCGGAAUGUAAAGUGCUUUCAGUUGGGAAGAAAAAAAUGACGGUACCAACAGAAGAAGUGAUGGCUAAAUACGUG
RNAcentral lists this ribosomal RNA (454 nucleotides) under uncultured bacterium. Its description in RNAcentral is "partial 16S ribosomal RNA". It matches the Rfam family "Bacterial small subunit ribosomal RNA", at positions 28 to 507 of the family's 1533-position model. The record is from RNAcentral.